RNAcentral lists this ribosomal RNA (253 nucleotides) under uncultured bacterium. RNAcentral's name for it is "partial 16S ribosomal RNA". It matches the Rfam family "Bacterial small subunit ribosomal RNA", at positions 524 to 776 of the family's 1533-position model. The record is from RNAcentral.
GACGAACCGUGCAAACGUUGUUCGGAAUCACUGGGCUUAAAGGGCGCGUAGGCGGGCCAGCCAGUCUGUGGUGAAAGCCUCCAGCUUAACUGGAGAAGUGCCGUGGAUACUGCUGGCCUCGAGGAGGGUAGGGGCAUCUGGAACGGUCGGUGGAGCGGUGAAAUGCGUUGAUAUCGACCGGAACUCCGGUGGCGAAGGCGGCGUCCUGGACCAACACUGACACUGAUGAGCGAAAGCCAGGGGAGCAAACGGG